Pelobates cultripes (western spadefoot toad) is the source of this 165-nucleotide non-coding RNA. Lineage: Eukaryota; Metazoa; Chordata; Amphibia; Anura; Pelobatidae. The record is from the annotation of a GenBank genome assembly.
ACCUGGGGACACUGAGAGACAGGGACACUGGGAGACAUGGGGACACUGAGAGACUAGGGGCCACUGGGAGACAGGGAGCCACUGUGUCCCUAGUGUCUCAGGGUCCCCAUGUUCCCCAGUGUCCCUAUGUCUCCCAGUGUCCCCAAGUCUCAGUGUCCCCAAGUC